RNAcentral lists this ribosomal RNA (440 nucleotides) under uncultured bacterium. RNAcentral describes it as "partial 16S ribosomal RNA". It matches the Rfam family "Bacterial small subunit ribosomal RNA", at positions 338 to 795 of the family's 1533-position model. The record is from RNAcentral.
CCUACGGGGGGCAGCAGUGGGGAAUAUUGCACAAUGGGGGAAACCCUGAUGCAGUGACGCCGCGUGAGUGAAGAAGUAUUUCGGUACGUAAAGCUCUAUCAGCAGGGAAGAAAAUGACGGUACCUGACUAAGAAGCCCCGGCUAACUACGUGCCAGCAGCCGCGGUAAUACGUAGGGGGCAAGCGUUAUCCGGAUUUACUGGGUGUAAAGGGAGCGUAGACGGCAGCGCAAGUCUGGAGUGAAAUCCCAUGGCUUAACCAUGGAACUGCUUUGGAAACUGUGCAGCUAGAGUGCAGGAGAGGUAAGCGGAAUUCCUAGUGUAGCGGUGAAAUGCGUAGAUAUUAGGAGGAACACCAGUGGCGAAGGCGGCUUACUGGACUGUAACUGACGUUGAGGCUCGAAAGCGUGGGGAGCAAACAGGAUUAGAUACCCCUGUAGUC